Molecule: ribosomal RNA, 506 nt
Filed under: Starmerella bacillaris
Lineage: Eukaryota; Fungi; Ascomycota; Dipodascomycetes; Dipodascales; Trichomonascaceae
Description: eukaryotic LSU rRNA
Rfam family: Eukaryotic large subunit ribosomal RNA
Source: RNAcentral
AGCGGAGGAAAAAAAACCAACAGGGAUUGCCCUAGUAACGGCGAGUGAACAGGCAAGAGCUCAGAUUUGAAAGGCACUUUUGUGCCGUUGUAUUCUGAAGUUAGGGUCCUGAGAAACGAUGCUUAAGUCUUCUGGAAAGGAGCGCCAUGGAGGGUGAUAGCCCCGUCUAGCAUUGACCUCAUAUAGGAUCUUAACAUGGAGUCGAGUUGUUUGGGAAUGCAGCUCAAAUGGGUGGUAUGCUCCAUCUAAAGCUAAAUAUCUGCGAGAGACCGAUAGUAAACAAGUACUGUGAGGGAAAGAUGAAAAGAACUUUGAAAAGAGAGUGAAAAAGUACGUGAAAUUGUUGAAAUGGAAGGGUAGGCCGCUAACCAUGUAGAGCCGUGUUUGGGGGGAAGAUAAAUGCUGUAGAAUGUAGCUCCUCGGAGUAUUAUAGAUGCAGUUCAUAUUCCCACCCGAGCGCGAGGAUCUCAGGUUCUACUAAAUGGUGGUCUACCACUCGUCUUGAA